UACGUAGGGUGCGAGCGUUGUUCGGAGUUACUGGGCGUAAAGAGUGCGUAGGCGGUUUUCUAAGUUUGGUGUGAAAUCUCCCGGCUUAACUGGGAGGGUGCGCCGAAAACUGGAAGGCUUGAGUAUGGGAGAGGUAAGCGGAAUUCCUGGUGUAGCGGUGAAAUGCGCAGAUAUCAGGAGGAACACCGAUGGCGAAGGCAGGUCUCUGGGCAUUAACUGACGCUGAGGAGCGAAAGCAUGGGGAGCGAACAGG
This 253-nucleotide ribosomal RNA is filed under the name uncultured bacterium. RNAcentral's name for it is "partial 16S ribosomal RNA". It matches the Rfam family "Bacterial small subunit ribosomal RNA", at positions 524 to 776 of the family's 1533-position model. The record is from RNAcentral.